AUCCAGCUGACGAGUGCCAAAUAGGACGAAACGCGCGUCAAACUGCAU
This 48-nucleotide non-coding RNA is filed under the name Schistosoma margrebowiei. The record is from RNAcentral. Lineage: Eukaryota; Metazoa; Platyhelminthes; Trematoda; Strigeidida; Schistosomatidae.